GCGGAAUUGUGCGGAAAACUUAGGUCAAUACUACCCCAAUUGUUUGCCUUCCAAGCAGAUCACGCGGGUUCGAUUCCCGUCAUCCGCU
This 88-nucleotide transfer RNA is filed under the name Clostridium sp. Its description in RNAcentral is "tRNA-Gly". The record is from RNAcentral. Lineage: Bacteria; Bacillati; Bacillota; Clostridia; Eubacteriales; Clostridiaceae.